UAUCUUCCCAAUAUGAGCACUCCUCCUGUAAACAUCAUUUUGUGACUUCUGAUUUUGGCCUCUAAGGGAAGUAACAAGUAUUAAUUACCGGCAUCAAAUUUGGAAUCAAAUUUUUGGAAAUUUGCAAGCUUAGAGGAAAUUGCAUACAAUAUUUAAUAGCAUUUUAUAUUCAAUCAGAAACUUGUAGAGUUUGCAGACUUGUACAACAACUCUUGCCACAAUCGAUAUAGAGAGAAAAAGAGUUAAAUUUGGCAGCCAGAAAAAUCAGCUGCCACUUGUUCUACUUCAAUUAUGAGGCAAUAUAAAGUCUGAAUUAUGAUAAGCAAAAACUAUAGGUCCAUCCCCCACAACCAUGAAUGAUGAAACAUGAACACCAAAGGGAACAAUGUACAAAACGAUCAUCCAUGGCUGCUAACAGAUGCACAUAAACAGCUCCUUUAUAAAUGGAUGAUCAAGGCUGUCUACCUUUGUGUACAGUUUCAUCAAUCAUGGGAGUGGUGGCUAUCAGUAAACCAUGAAAGUGACUCUAUGGAGUGUUAAAAAUGCCAUUUUCAAAGAGUUCCUCGCCAUUGUCAGACCUGUGAGAGUCAUCAGAAGAUUUUUUGAUUGCUUUCUCCAUCUCCUCAUCAAUCAUAAUCUCCUCUGCGCGACAACUUAAACUGCAAAAGGCUUUCUCACCUCUGCGAGAAAUCAACACAAAUCAGUAUUCUCUAGUCAACAAGUAAUGUGCAUUGUGCAAAAUAAAAGCCUGUGCAGAUAACUCAGAACAAACCUGUACAUGUAAAUAUCUUUCCCACCUUCCAAUUUCUUGUUGCAAUGAUAACAGAAGUUCAAAAAAUCAUUUGAAGGAAAUAGACUUGGAAUUAUAGAGCUAGAAAUAGCGUGAGGGACUCCAGUCUCCUUUCCUUCAUUAGAGUAACAUUCCAAAAUGCAAUCACCAUAAAUAUGAGUUUUCUUGGGGUUGGGACCAUGUGAUAUUACACAUGUAUAGUCCUCAGAAAGCUCAAUCUCACUUGCAGAGAGAGAAACAAUUCGUCCAUUGGCAGAGCCAACAGACAUUGGAGUCAAGUUCAAAUCAGUAUGCAAAGAGUUGUUUGAGUUUGGGCUUCCUCCAGAAAAUUGCAUCGGAGUAUUCACUUGGGUAGUAAGAUUAUUCAAGCAGAAAUUCCCUGAAGUCACAUUCGAGUUCUGUCCAGCCAAUCGGGAUAGUGUGGAAAAGGACUUGCAGGAGUCCAGUGAACAAGACCGGAUUUUUCCAAAGUGCUCAGGUGCAAAUGGGGCUUCUCCAAUCUCAAAAAUAACAUUAGAGCUGCCCUUCUGAAGUGGAGAUUUGGUAUGGGUAUGAGGGAAAAUUGCAAAAUUUCUUGGCAAAGACUUUGGUGCCUCAAAAGAAUUAGCAUUGGCUUGAAAGUUUGGGUCUUUAAUUCUUACUCGCUGUCCAAAAAGAAUGUUCUUGCUCUCUGAUGAUCGAAGAAAUUUGCCAGAUUCUCUCAUAUCAUCAUCAUCAAGAGAAUUUACAAUGCUUAAGCCUACUUUACUGCAAUCCCAGCUCUUCUGGUGCCCAUUGUGAGAUGACCUUUGGGACCUACUGGGAUUUCCUAGAUUUGAGAACAUCCUGAAAUCCAGAGGAGAUGUUGGGCUUCUAACAGAAUCACAAUCUGAUAAGCCCUUAGAAGUUAACCCAACAAACAGACCAGGGACACCGACAAAGGAGUUUGUUUUGUGAUUGUAUCCCAGACAAUCAGACUGGGUAAAGGGCUCAGAACCAGAAUCAGACAUUGUUAAGGGACCCAUCUGUUGAUCUUUCUGGAGUGACCUGGUUCUCUUCCUCAACAUUACCCCAAGACCCUUGUCAGGAACACCUAAAACCCCUUUAUCUGUACUAAAGCAACAGAUUUAACAAAUAAAUAAGUGUUAUAUUGUGGGAAAACAAUUAGAAUAAGCAGGAAACUGAUUAUAUUCUUAUCAGGAUUAUCAACAAUCAGCUACAUUGAGGAAAAUAGUAACAAAAGACGUUGAUAAACAUUUUCAUAUACAAGAAGAGUAAAGAUUUCACGGACUAUGCUUAGGAGAAAGAUCAGAAGAAAGAUUUGUUUAGUGAUUGAAAUUUCACAAAUCCUAGAACAACUAGAUAUCAAGUGGAUGAAAAGUAGCAAGGGAUAGCAAAAUCUCCAAAUGCAGGAAAAAAAAAAUUAUGAAGACCAAGGGGGACCAUGUCAAGCAGAACACUGUCAAUCUUGAUUUUCCCCAUGAAAUUGAAAAACCCAGAUGAUAGAAAUCGCUCAAAGAGGAGAUACCCAGAUAAGCAAUCCCCCAAAAUAGAAUUAAAAAAGCUUAAAAAAAAAACCAACAGUGCAAAGAAGAUGAUCAAGGCCAAACAUUACAAUUAAUAAAAAAAAAAUGCAUGAACUGAGAUAAUAGCAAUAAGAAGUUUAAUCAGAGAAUGAAUAAACAAAAAUAAUAAAGCACACCUGGGCUCCUUUAUCUUGCAGUGGAAAAUACAGGGAGAUGAUGUUUUAGAGAAGAGACCCAAAUGCAGUAA
RNAcentral lists this unclassified non-coding RNA (2542 nucleotides) under Hevea brasiliensis (rubber tree). Lineage: Eukaryota; Viridiplantae; Streptophyta; Magnoliopsida; Malpighiales; Euphorbiaceae. The record is from RNAcentral.